UACGUAGGUGGCAAGCGUUGUCCGGAUUUAUUGGGGUUAAAGGGUGCGUAGGCGGUUCCUUAAGUCAGUUGUGAAAUACGGCAGCUUAACUGUCGAGGUGCAAUUGAUACUGGGGAACUAGAGUACUGAUGAGGUAUGCGGAAUGGACGGUGUAGCGGUGAAAUGCUUAGAUAUCGUCCAGAACACCGAUAGCGAAGGCAGCAUACUAAGGAGUAACUGACGCUGAGGCACGAAAGUGUGGGGAUCAAACAGG
RNAcentral lists this ribosomal RNA (253 nucleotides) under uncultured bacterium. RNAcentral's name for it is "partial 16S ribosomal RNA". It matches the Rfam family "Bacterial small subunit ribosomal RNA", at positions 524 to 776 of the family's 1533-position model. The record is from RNAcentral.